Non-coding RNA from Pelodiscus sinensis (Chinese soft-shelled turtle), 1631 nucleotides. The record is from RefSeq and is a predicted model, not a curated record. Lineage: Eukaryota; Metazoa; Chordata; Testudines; Trionychidae.
GCUAUGUGCCCAGAGUUCGGGGGAUGCGAGGGCCUGAAGGCUGCUCCCUGCCUGGCUGAGGGAAGAUGAAGGGUCCACCACUCUGUGUUGGCUCCCCAUAGCUCUCCAUGUAGCUGUCUCUGAAUCUCUCACUUUUAUUCCUUGGCGUAGGCUGUACAAAAACAUGUUAGAGACCUUGUGCACCUAAUUGUGUUGUUGAAGCCUGUGCUGCCCUUGCCUACACUGCUAUUUUUAGUGGUGCUAGCACAGGUGUCUCUAAACAAACUGCAGUGCUCUCCUACCUCUGAUUACAAUGUGGACAUAAAUGCUUGCAGUAUGUGAUUAAAAAGUGUGCCAAGAAAAAGCAGCACUUAUUAGCAAAGCUUGAUUUUUAGCUGACUGACAGGGUAGUGUUUAGUUUAAAUUGAAAAACCAGCAGCCUUCAUUUUAACACUCACACUGAUAUGCUGGAGAGUUCUGGCCUUACUCUAAGUGAACGUAUUGUUAGUACUAGCUCUUCCAGUCAGUGUGGAUUGAUUCUACCAACACAGAGAGAAUUCUCCAUUCUACCAGGCCAAGUUAAAUAUUAACAUGUUCUGUCAAAAGGUGAACUCUGUGCUACAUUUUAACUGAGAAAGUGAGCUCCUUGGUUAAGCAUUCAGUCAGAUGGGGAGAAAAACCCCAAACACACAAAUAACAAUGCCUUGAACUGGAACUUGUUUGUUUGACUUGCAUUGCACUGGAGCAUGGAAUUAAUUCAAAGACAUCAGGGAGCAUAACAGCUGUGAAGUCCAAAGGAUGAAAAUUUUGAUUUUGAAGCAUGCACAACUUUGCCUAAUUGCUUCUAAUCCUCAUCAGGAGCAGUUAGCAUUGUAGAAGAAGGCAAUCUUUCUGUCUCUUUGAGCUUCCAUCUGAGAUCUCUACACUCAUUUGAGGAGCCUGGCAGAGUCGUCUGCUACUAACCAGGGAAAAAAAAAAACAUUUGGGACCAGCCUGCAUGAGGUGCCUCCUGCCUGUUCAGUCUCAGGUAGAAGACUUCUGAGAAUUCAUUCUGGAGAUGGGACCUAGAGCUACUUGCUUGUAUAUUUCAGCGCAGUCAUUAGGAAAGUUGGCUUUUAUGUAGAGCUCUCUGGUCAUGUCUCUAGUUUCUGGAGAUACAAUGGGCACUUCGCCAACCAUGAAACUCCCAGACCGAAGUAAUGUUUUCAACACAACAACAAAGAGCCGAUCUUGUCCUUAACUCUGUGGAUGAAGAAUGAAGCGAGGUAUUGUGCUCAUAUAACUUCCUAAAAACCUAUUUCCUACUUUUUGACCAGUAAAGUAACAAGAUUUUGUUUUCUGAGCCCCAAAUCUGCAUAUGUGGAGAGGAUUUCAGACCACAGGAAGCUUUGAAUUGGAUUCUUCUCUCACCUACAACAGUGUAAAUCAGGAGAAAGUCAAGUGACUUCAGUAGAAUGACACUGGCAAAAUUCUGCUAUAAUUCAGGAUACGUCUACACUGAGAAUGCUAUAAGGGUACAGCUGGGCUGGGCUGUUGUAGUGCUUCAUGCACAAACUCUUUAUGCUGUUGGGAGGGUUUCUCCCAGGGUACGUCCACACUGUAGAGUUUUUUCGGAAAAAGGUCGUUUUUCAAAAAAAACUUCACUUACGACU